CUGCUCCUCCUUCACGCAGAAAGAGAGAGAGAGAGAGAGAGAGAGAGAGAGAGAGAGAGAGAGAGAGAGAGAGUGGUGCCUCCUGCCUUCUCUCGCCACUAGUAUCCCGUUGACUGCCUUACGGGAAAGACCAAAAGCGUUUUACCUGUUCUCGUUCUUACCUUCGUCUCUCCGUGUCUCUUGUGUCGCGUGAGUGGUGCCAGUGACUUAACCCGGUGGUGCCAAGGUGCCAAAGGGUCAGUAAGCCCUCCUCCACCCAACGCCCUCCCCUGUGGCUCUCCUUCUCUCGCUCCUCUGCCGUCACUUUGUGCUUCGUGAGUCACGGUGCGUGUCGGCGGAGCAGCAACACGGUGUUAUCGACGCCACACCGAGCAGGGCGCCAAUCCUGAGGGACCGAGGAGGCGCCACACAAGGCACACAAGCCUACCAGUUUGCCGCAGCCACGAGUCUUGCUGCACUUAAUCCCUUCAGUACCAUGCCGCGUUUUCAUAUUCUGGUUACUAAUUUGGUGAUUUUGUACAGCUUCAGAAACAUAUGUGGGGGAUUAGAAUAGUAAAGACU
Molecule: unclassified non-coding RNA, 561 nt
Filed under: Portunus trituberculatus (swimming crab)
Lineage: Eukaryota; Metazoa; Arthropoda; Malacostraca; Decapoda; Portunidae
Description: uncharacterized LOC123507695, transcript variant X1
Source: RNAcentral